Molecule: ribosomal RNA, 293 nt
Filed under: uncultured bacterium
Lineage: Bacteria
Description: partial 16S ribosomal RNA
Rfam family: Bacterial small subunit ribosomal RNA
Source: RNAcentral
GUGUCAGCAGCCGCGGUAAUACGUAGGGGGCGAGCGUUGUCCGGAAUUAUUGGGCGUAAAGAGCUCGUAGGCGGCUUAGUAAGUCGGCGGUGAAAUACCGAGGCUCAACCUCGGCACUGCCGUCGAUACUGCUAUGGCUAGAGUUUGGUAGAGGAGAACGGAAUUCCCGGUGUAGCGGUGGAAUGCGCAGAUAUCGGGAGGAACACCCGUAGCGAAGGCGGUUCUCUGGGCCAAUACUGACGCUGAGGAGCGAAAGCGUGGGGAGCAAACAGGAUUAGAAACCCCCGUAGUCC